UGAGAGCUGCAUGUGAGCCUGUGACCGUGA
This 30-nucleotide non-coding RNA is filed under the name Homo sapiens (human). The record is from RNAcentral. Lineage: Eukaryota; Metazoa; Chordata; Mammalia; Primates; Hominidae.